Molecule: ribosomal RNA, 253 nt
Filed under: uncultured bacterium
Lineage: Bacteria
Description: partial 16S ribosomal RNA
Rfam family: Bacterial small subunit ribosomal RNA
Source: RNAcentral
UACGUAGGGGGCAAGCGUUGUCCGGAUUUAUUGGGCGUAAAGAGCGUGUAGGCGGCCAUUCAGGUCAGCUGUGAAAACUCGAGGCUCAACCUCGAGACGUCGGUUGAAACCGUUUGGCUAGAGUCCGGAAGAGGAGAGUGGAAUUCCCGGUGUAGCGGUGAAAUGCGCAGAUAUCAGGAAGAACACCCGUGGCUAAGGCGGCUCUCUAGUACGGUACUGACGCUGAGACGCGAAAGCGUGGGGAGCGAACAGG